This 26-nucleotide non-coding RNA is filed under the name Homo sapiens (human). The record is from RNAcentral. Lineage: Eukaryota; Metazoa; Chordata; Mammalia; Primates; Hominidae.
ACACAGCAUAUGUUUGAGAAGGGAGC